This 264-nucleotide ribosomal RNA is filed under the name uncultured bacterium. RNAcentral describes it as "partial 16S ribosomal RNA". It matches the Rfam family "Bacterial small subunit ribosomal RNA", at positions 793 to 1055 of the family's 1533-position model. The record is from RNAcentral.
GUCCAUGCCGUAAACGAUGAAUACUAGGUGUGGGAGGACUGACCCCUUCCGUGCCGCAGUUAACACAAUAAGUAUUCCACCUGGGGAGUACGACCGCAAGGUUGAAACUCAAAGGAAUUGACGGGGCCCGCACAAGCAGUGGAUUAUGUGGUUUAAUUCGACGCAACGCGAAGAACCUUACCAGGAUUUGACAUCCAACUAACGAAGUAGAGAUACAUCAGGUACCCUUCGGGGAAGUUGAGACAGGUGGUGCAUGGUUGUCGU